GGGGAAUAUUGGGCAAUGGGCGCAAGCCUGACCCAGCAACGCCGCGUGAAGGAAGAAGGCUUUCGGGUUGUAAACUUCUUUUAAGAGGGAAGAGCAGAAGACGGUACCUCUAGAAUAAGCCACGGCUAACUACGUGCCAGCAGCCGCGGUAAUACGUAGGUGGCAAGCGUUGUCCGGAUUUACUGGGUGUAAAGGGCGUGCAGCCGGGUCUGCAAGUCAGAUGUGAAAUCCAUGGGCUCAACCCAUGAACUGCAUUUGAAACUGUAGAUCUUGAGUGUCGGAGGGGCAAUCGGAAUUCCUAGUGUAGCGGUGAAAUGCGUAGAUAUUAGGAGGAACACCAGUGGCGAAGGCGGAUUGCUGGACGAUAACUGACGGUGAGGCGCGAAAGUGUGGGGAGCAAAC
This 402-nucleotide ribosomal RNA is filed under the name uncultured bacterium. Its description in RNAcentral is "bacterial SSU rRNA". It matches the Rfam family "Bacterial small subunit ribosomal RNA", at positions 356 to 773 of the family's 1533-position model. The record is from RNAcentral.